ACUAUGCAUGCAUUAAAUAUUAUAAUACACUAAACAUACCCUUCCUGAUGAAAUAUCAUCCAUUAGAAGGCCCGAAAAAGAAAUAAAUAAAAUAAAAUCGUGAAUUCUUUUCACAAAAUAUCUAAAAGCAUUCUGUUGCUUCGGACAACCGGUGAACACUUUUUUCCAUCCAGCAAACCGCCCUAUCGAUUUUGUAAAGUCGUUUCUUUUUGGAUUUUUUCAUUAAUUCGGUUAGGGUUAGAGUUAGGGUUGAGGUUAGGGUUAGGGGUUAGGGUAGGGGUAGGGUUUGGGUUAGUUACAUAGCCAUUUAACACCUGCGAAAAUGACGCCAGGUCAGUUUGCUGGAUGGAAAAUAGUGCUAACCCGGACAACCAGUUUGCCACUGAUCUCUAUAUACCGUCGUUGGCAUCGUAACAUUCACAGAUCGAUAAAC
Paramuricea clavata is the source of this 433-nucleotide non-coding RNA. The record is from the annotation of a GenBank genome assembly. Lineage: Eukaryota; Metazoa; Cnidaria; Anthozoa; Malacalcyonacea; Plexauridae.